GGUGCUAUUAGCAAGCUAAUGUUGGCUAGCAUUGCUAGUACAAGCUAAUGGCAAGCAGCUAGUGUGCUCAGAGCAAGUUGGAAACUGUUGCCGUGAUCCGUGAGAAUUCAACUACAAUAUUGUAUCGUGUAACGUGGCUAUCGUGUUGAUGCCGAAUUAAUAAGGCGGUAUUUACCUUGUAAUAAGCCCCGUUGGAGCCACGGACCUCCACCACCAGUUCCUCCAUAUUGGACACGCAAAGGAUGUCGGGACGACAGGUGCUCCUUGAGGCAUCGGGAGAGAAGAAGUUUGAAGGCUGGAGAGUCUGAUUGCCUCAGUGCUGAAGAAAGAGGCCUAAGAAGAGGAAUCCCCUCUCUUUGUGAAAAGGAGUCCAGGUGGGAGCAGAGGAAGAGCAGGAGGAGGAGGAGGAGGAGAAUGGAGUGGGAUGAUUCAUGAAGGCGAGAAUCUGCAGCUUCAUCAGAGUCGGUCAAGCAGGACAGCUGCUGCCGCUGCUGACCUCCCGAACUAGUGGAGAGACCCACACCUUCAAGGACUAAAAGGUCUUCCUAUUCUUUUCCCUCCAGCAGUCACACCGCCCUCCCUCCCUCUGUCAUUCUUUCUUUUCUUUCUCCACCACUUUUUCACUCUCAGCUUAUUGCAACAGAGCAGGGUCAGGACUUAACCCCCCCCCCCUCCACAGAAAUAAAGUCCUUCAGGUCUGCAGAAGAGGACAGUGAUGAGGUGUCUCUGUGCCUGGAAUACAGUACACACAAACAUGCAUUAUUUCAAGGAUGACUGAUGGAGUGGUAAACACAAAUACAACUGUGUCCUCUUGCAUGAGGUGUAGAAAACAACACACACGAAAAUCUUUUUUGUCUUUGUCUUCAGAAAAACAGGAAAAAAACUGAAAUAAUUAAUUGUUUUCCAAAAGGGCCAUACCCUCAUUAUGAAUAUUGAUAAUUUAUGCCUAAAAGGUGCUUACAUUGAAUAGCCGCUACAUGUAUAUGGGAUGCAAAACUAUUACCGUUUUGUUUAGUGUGUUCUCUCACCAUUUGAUUUGAUACAAAAGUAGGUGCAUAAAUGUUCUGUUAAGCAAAUAUGCCAAAAUGUUCUAGUUCUAGCUCAUAUGAUAAUAAACUGAGUAUCGAUAGCAUUUUUCACAAUACUCAAGCAAGAAAAUUAUUAUUGUAGCCUUAGUGGUUUUUCUUUCUGUUCUACCUAUCACUAUGUUCCAACCUUAUGUUGUUUGGUACAUUGUUUGCCGUACACAUUAUUUUAACAUUUGCAUGUUUAAUCUUAUUAUUUCUCAUUUAAUUUUCAUUGUUAUAUUUUAAUUUGAAUGGAUUGUCCGAUUUUUGCUGUGAUGUUUGCACAGUACCUUAUAAAAUGUAUUUCAGGAC
Perca flavescens (yellow perch) is the source of this 1379-nucleotide long non-coding RNA. RefSeq lists it as uncharacterized. The record is from RefSeq and is a predicted model, not a curated record. NCBI's taxonomy places the organism in Eukaryota, Metazoa, Chordata, Actinopteri, Perciformes, Percidae. The transcript is spliced from 2 exons.